GGGACGGUAGCUUAGUGAUAGAGUGCUUGCCUUGCAUGCAUGAGGCCCUGGGUUCGAUUCCUUAGUACCA
RNAcentral lists this transfer RNA (70 nucleotides) under Dipodomys ordii (Ord's kangaroo rat). It matches the Rfam family "tRNA". From Rfam's summary of the family: Transfer RNA (tRNA) molecules are approximately 80 nucleotides in length. Lineage: Eukaryota; Metazoa; Chordata; Mammalia; Rodentia; Heteromyidae. The record is from Rfam by way of RNAcentral.